RNAcentral lists this ribosomal RNA (253 nucleotides) under uncultured bacterium. Its description in RNAcentral is "partial 16S ribosomal RNA". It matches the Rfam family "Bacterial small subunit ribosomal RNA", at positions 524 to 776 of the family's 1533-position model. The record is from RNAcentral.
UACGGGGGGGGCAAGCGUUGUUCGGAAUUACUGGGCGUAAAGCGUGCGCAGGCGGUUUUGUAAGUCUGUCGUGAAAGCCCCGGGCUUAACCUGGGAAUUGCGAUGGAGACUGCAAGGCUUGAAUCUGGCAGAGGGGGGUAGAAUUCCACGUGUAGCAGUGAAAUGCGUAGAGAUGUGGAGGAACACCGAUGGCGAAGGCAGCCCCCUGGGUCAAGAUUGACGCUCAUGCACGAAAGCGUGGGGAGCAAACAGG